GUGUUGCUUAGGUAACACAUAUACUAAAAUUGGAACGAUACAGAGAAGAUUAGCAUGGCCCCUGUAGCAAGGAUGACAUGCAAAUUCAUGAAGCGUUUCCAUAUUUU
Entelurus aequoreus (snake pipefish) is the source of this 107-nucleotide small nuclear RNA. The record is from RefSeq and is a predicted model, not a curated record. NCBI's taxonomy places the organism in Eukaryota, Metazoa, Chordata, Actinopteri, Syngnathiformes, Syngnathidae.